This is a long non-coding RNA of Chenopodium quinoa (quinoa), 3068 nucleotides long. RefSeq lists it as uncharacterized. NCBI's taxonomy places the organism in Eukaryota, Viridiplantae, Streptophyta, Magnoliopsida, Caryophyllales, Amaranthaceae. The transcript has 3 exons. The record is from RefSeq and is a predicted model, not a curated record.
AGAAAGUUAUGGUGGGGUAUUGAAAAAGUAAGAGAGAGAUAGUGGUGGGUGAGCAUUUUUUUUGCUCACCAUUGGGAGAGGAAAUGUGGAAAAAAUUUGUCCAUGAGCAAAAUUGAUUUGUUGAGAGAGAAAGUGGGUAGAGAGAGAGUGGGUGAGCAUUUUUUUUGCUCACCAUUGAGAGUGGUCUAAGAGUCACCGCCUUCCGCCGCUUCAAAUUCCACUGGAAACUUCCUGCGCAAGAGUGAGAAAGAAGAGAGCAGUAAUUUUUGGGAAGCGGGAAGUGUGUUGCAGUAAUUUAAUGUGGGAAGUAACGGUUAAUUGAGUAGUGGGAAGUUGUAGUAACUUCUUGAACUAGUGCGCUAGGUUGAAGGAUGAUUGUGCCCCUGGAGAGUUAGUUUUUAAUUUUUUGUUUUUGUUUUUUGAAUUUAUUCUAUUUUAUGGUUUUAAUUGCUAAACAUGUACAUAGCUGCCCAUAUUAAGCAAUUAGGGGCAAAUUGUUAUGGGUAAAUUUUAGGAUUUUUUUUGACAAUUACCACCUACAAUUGUUGUUAUUUUAGCAAUUACCACGUUUAAUUUUUAUUUUUUUUUUGAAUUUUACCAUCUACUAUUUUGAAAAUAUCAAAAUUUCCCACCUACUUGGCUCUGAACUGAAGUGUCACUACUACAAAAAUGGCCUAAGGAACCACUCUUAAAGCACCAUAUAAAUCACUAAUCCAGUUUCUUAGAUAAAGAAACCUUACAGGAAAGAUAUCUGGUUUCGUAGAUGAAAAAUAAGAAACCAUACAUCAUAAAAAACCAGUUUCAGAUAAAGAAAUCUCAAAUUAGAAAUAUUUGGUUUCUUAGAUGUUUAACUAAGUUACCACACAUCACUAAAAUUCGGUUCUUUAUUUUUCAUUUAAUAUUUAAUUGUAAAAAAUGUUAAAAAAAAAAAAAAAAAAAAAAAAAAAAAAAACCUAAACUACCUUGAUAUUAACCGCCCCCUUCCCCCAUUUCUCUAAUCCUCUUCGCCAUUAACGAAAUUGCCUCACAAAUACAGGCCUCCCCUAUCCCCUAUUUCUACUAUCUCAGAGCUUCUCCAGCUUUCUCUCUCCUUGCCAACAAUGGCGGAGAAACCAAUUCUCUCUCAUCGGCGAAUUCUGUUUCGAAUUCUCUGAGUUUUUCUUCGGUCCGAUUUUCUUCGCCGGCGAAAAACCCUAACAAUGGCGAAUUCUCCGUUUCUGCGGCGGCGCCGGAAGCUAACAACCGUCCUUUGACCGGCGUCAUUUUUUGAGCCGUUUUAGGAGGUUAAGAAGGAGCUCUCUAUGGUUCCUACUGUUCCUCAGGCUUCUCUUGCUCGUCAAAAGUAUGCCGAUGAUUGUGAAUACGCCAUUAAUGAACAAAUCAAAUUACUACCUCUAACCAACAAAUCUGACGCUUUCUCGCUGUCGUCUUCGCAUCGCACCGUCAUACCCCUACAUAGGUCAUCUACUAUCUCCUUGGAUUUUCCGUAUAACAAACAUUGAAUUUGAACAAGUCAAAUUAAAAUGGGAUAUUGCAGACAUGCGGUUGAAGGAUGUGAAACGGAGCAGACAUAGUGCUUGAAUCUGGUCAAGAUUAGUGUUAUAAUUCAUGUAAUUUGAUUUGCUCUGAUCAAUGAAAUAUUGAGUUUAUUUUAAUCGUCAAUUUUUAUGUGUAAUGGCGUCAAUAUCAUUCUUAGGAAUAUGAUUUUAAUAGAGUACCUUUUUUGCAUUAUUUUUUUUACAAUUUUUUAACAAGUCAAUUGUAAUUACUCAUAGAACCGAUUCCUAUCUUUUAGUUGGACAAAUAGUACUGAUAUACUUGUUGAGUUGAUUCAUUGGCAAAAAAUAAUAACCAUUUGAUUUUUUUUUUAUUUUUUAAAUAGCAAAGAUACCGGUUAUCUCUAGAAACUGGUUUCUUAGACUGGGAUCAAAGAAACCGGUAACCAAAAAACAUUCGAUGCCUAAAGGAAGAACCAGUCUCUUUGCAUGAUCUUAGAAACCAGGUAAAAAACACGGUCUCUAAGCUAAGCUAAGAGACCUACUACCUAGGCACCGGUCAAUUUAUGGUUUCUUAGACAUAUUUUGUCCGGUUUCUUAGGCCAUUUUUCUAGUAGUGUGUGAUGUUAUAUGGGGCCUACUAACUACUAUCUCACCCAAUUUCCCUCCUUUUCUUUCUUUCUCUCUCGAUUUCUCAUUCCCUUAUAUUAUACUCCUCUCAUAAUUUGGGAAAAACUUCAAAUUAAAUUACAUAUUCAUGUUAAUUAUUUCACGAAUUGAAGUUUUUCCUCAAUUUUGAGAGGAGUACAAUACAGGGGAAUGAGAAAUCGAGUGAGAAAGAAAGAAAGGGAGGGAAAAAUGAUGGGAAGGUAGUUAGUGGGCCCCACAUGAUGUCACAUUUGAGUUGAGAGCCAAGUAGGUGGGAAGUUUUGAUGUUAUUAAAAAUAGUAGAUGGUAAAAUUCAAAAAAAAAAAAAAAAAAAACUGUAGGUGGUAAUUGUCAAAAAAUCCUAAAUUUUAAAGUAAGUCAAAGCCAACAAGAGUCAACGACAAAGAGUGAAGAUUGACGACCAGCCCAGACUCGACGGACGAAGCGAGAGUAACGACUCUCUUAUUUUCUAGGAAGAGAUAGGUUUGAGAGACUAAGUCUCCUAUCAUCAGAGUCAAGCCGUUAUCAAGCUGGGAGAAGUGCCACGAAUCAAGGAGUUAGUUGCCGAGAAUUAAGGAGUUGAUCUUAUCAUUCUCCAACAGCUACAUUAAACCCUAGGCAUCAUCUAUAUAUAGGAGAGGAAGCAUUGACGUUAGACACAUUGCAACCUAGCUACUAAAUACUCACUGAUCAUAUAUUGUAAUCAUUCUCAUUCAAUCGUUUUACAUAGUGAAAGUUUGAUAGAUCCUCAUUUUACCCGCGGUUUUCACCUUCUUUGGGUUUUCCGCAUCACUAAUUCCUUGUGUCAUUUAUUUAUUUCGUUAUUGCUUUUCUUAAAGGUUUUAUUUAGUUGAUCCGUAACCUAGAUUUUGUUACUCAAUCCCACUCUAUGAAAUUUAGCCAGUGAACAAGGUAAGCACCUGU